This 280-nucleotide ribosomal RNA is filed under the name uncultured Hyphomonas sp. Its description in RNAcentral is "partial 16S ribosomal RNA". It matches the Rfam family "Bacterial small subunit ribosomal RNA", at positions 1080 to 1382 of the family's 1533-position model. Lineage: Bacteria; Pseudomonadati; Pseudomonadota; Alphaproteobacteria; Hyphomonadales; Hyphomonadaceae. The record is from RNAcentral.
UUAAGUCCGCAACGAGCGCAACCCUCAUCCUUAGUUGCCAUCACGUUUGGGUGGGCACUCUAAGGAAACUGCCGGUGGCAAGCCGGAGGAAGGUGGGGAUGACGUCAAGUCCUCAUGGCCCUUACGGGUAGGGCUACACACGUGCUACAAUGGCAGUGACAAUGGGAUAAUCCCAAAAAGCUGUCUCAGUUCGGAUUGUCGUCUGCAACUCGACGGCAUGAAGGUGGAAUCGCUAGUAAUCGUGGAUCAGCAUGCCACGGUGAAUACGUUCCCGGGCCUU